GGUAGUUGUGCCCCAUCUUUUAAUUGUGUCUGUUGCCUAUGUACAGAAAUGUAUUUUACAAUUUAUGGAAACUGGGUAAAGUUAAAACUAUUGAAAACUAAGCAGACAAAAGUAAUAGUUUGAACCUUGCAAAGUGAUGGGACAGGAGACCUUUCCCUCAAGAUGAGGGCCACGGAUGCAACGGGCACAAAAGGUGUGAAAGCAGGAUAGCAGACAAGGCUCGUUGAAAUAGUCAUGGCAGACGCCGCAGAUCAAAGGAUUCCUAGGCCCACCACCGGUCACACCUGUCGUACCGUCGUUUUCGCCGACACCGACGCCGAUGCCGUCGACCGUCGACCCCGUCGAAUUCGCCAUCGCCGGCUAAACCAACGGCGGUCACCUGGAAACCACAACCCAUUUUAGGAAAAUCGUAACACGUUAUGAAGUAAAAAAAAAAAAAUAAGAGAAAACUAAUCGAAAAGAAUUGUAAAGAAUGUUUACCCCAAGACCGUUGGCCCGCCCGCCGUAGAAAAGCCUGAUAGGUAGUUUAUCGGCUCGUCAUUCUGACGUAUAUGGUGGGCAACCCUCAGUUUGCGCCUGACGAUCAGCUCUGACGUCACUGGGGUGCCACCAAUCUCGCGCCCUCCACCAAGGAUGCUACGUACACAGAGAAAAGAGGUAGGUCUGCUGCUGCUGCAGCUGCAGCUGCAGCACACUGCUCGCGCUGCUAUGUCGAAAAGGGUGCACACCGCAUCAUACAGGGUUGCGCUGACGUAAGUGUGCCUCGGUGGUAGUCAGCGGUAGCGAGCAUACGUGCAUCCGCUAACGAUGGAUAUUUGACCCUUUUUCUUGCAAAUUUUUCAACAAUUUGCUCACGCAACAAUACCCGAAUUGAUUUCAAUUCACAAAUGUUUCGAAAACUUUAAAGGGUUUAAAUGUAUUACAUGGUAAUAAGUUAUACAUACAAAAUGAUGUUUAAUAAUCUAUGUCAAACUUUGUCAAUUUAAAAAAAAAACAUAAUAAUUAGUUUGGGAUUUUUCAGAUUUGAAGAAUCUAUAAAAUCUGAUUAUUAGUUAUUGUUAGUUAGAAAUAUCUGAACUUAUCCGUUUUAUACGUUUCGGGUGAUUCGUUUCGAGUCUACCGCUAGCAGCUGGAUGCGCACGUAGUGGUACUUGGAACUAGAUCUAUGCGCGAGACAGAGAGAGAGCAGCACCUCAACGUCCUCAUCCCCUGGAACUUCCAUCGUCCCGUUUGCUGCACUCCUGCAGAGACCUACAUAUACAUAUGUAUUUAUAUAUAUAUACAUAUAUGUAGAGAGAGAAAGAGAGGAUCCACUUGUACCAGACGAUGUCUGCGAUAGAAAUGAAGAAAAAUAUGUAUCUAGUUCCUAUUGAUCGUUUAAAAAAUCUUGCGGAAGAAGGAUGCGACGAAAUGUAUACACCAGUACUGUAAUCAGG
This is a non-coding RNA of Osmia lignaria (orchard mason bee), 1436 nucleotides long. NCBI's taxonomy places the organism in Eukaryota, Metazoa, Arthropoda, Insecta, Hymenoptera, Megachilidae. The record is from RefSeq and is a predicted model, not a curated record.